Molecule: ribosomal RNA, 398 nt
Filed under: Lirapex sp. DC-2019
Lineage: Eukaryota; Metazoa; Mollusca; Gastropoda; Neomphalida; Peltospiridae
Description: SSU rRNA
Source: RNAcentral
AUGCAUGUCUAAGUACAGACUUCCACAUAGUGAAACUGCGAAUGGCUCAUUAGAUCAGUUAUGGUUCAUUAGAUCGUACAAUCCUUACUUGGAUAACUGUGGCWAUUCYAGAGCUAAUACAUGCAACGAAAGCUCCGACCUCGCGGGAAGAGCGCUUUUAUUAGUUCAAGACCAACCGGGGGACCCGUCUCGCCGUCAGGUUGGGCGGCCCCCGUCCAAAACUUGGUGACUCUGGAUAACUUUGUGCGGAUCGCACGGCCCGAGAGCCGGCGACGUAUCUUUCAAGUGUCUGCCCUAUCAACUUUCGUAGGUAGUCGACCUGACCACCUAGGUUUUCACGGGUAGCGGGGGAUCGUGGGUUCGAUUCCGGAGAGGGAGCAUGAGAAACGGCUACCACA